GCGGCAGGCUUAACACAUGCAAGUCGAGCGGAUGAAGGUAGCUUGCUACUGGAUUCAGCGGCGGACGGGUGAGUAAUGCUUAGGAAUCUGCCUAUUAGUGGGGGACAACGUUCCGAAAGGNGCGCUAAUACCGCAUACGUCCUACGGGAGAAAGCAGGGGACCUUNGGGCCUUGCGCUAAUAGAUGAGCCUAAGUCGGAUUAGCUAGUUGGUAGGGUAAAGGCCUACCAAGGCGACGAUCUGUAGCGGGUCUGAGAGGAUGAUCCGCCACACUGGGACUGAGACACGGCCCAGACUCCUACGGGAGGCAGCAGUGGGGAAUAUUGGACAAUGGGGGGAACCCUGAUCCAGCCAUGCCGCGUGUGUGAAGAAGGCCUUUUGGUUGUAAAGCACUUUAAGCGAGGAGGAGGCUACCUAGAUUAAUACUUUAGGAUAGUGGACGUUACUCGCAGAAUAAGCACCGGCUAACUCUGUGCCAGCAGCCGCGGUAAUACAGAGGGUGCGAGCGUUAAUCGGAUUUACUGGGCGUAAAGCGUGCGUAGGCGGCCAAUUAAGUCAAAUGUGAAAUCCCCGAGCUUAACUUGGGAAUUGCAUUCGAUACUGGUUGGCUAGAGUAUGGGAGAGGAUGGUAGAAUUCCAGGUGUAGCGGUGAAAUGCGUAGAGAUCUGGAGGAAUACCGAUGGCGAAGGCAGCCAUCUGGCCUAAUACUGACGCUGAGGUACGAAAGCAUGGGGAGCAAACAGGAUUAGAUACCCUGGUAGUCCAUGCCGUAAACGAUGUCUACUAGCCGUUGGGGCCCUUGAGGCUUUAGUGGCGCAGCUAACGCGAUAAGUAGACCGCCUGGGGAGUACGGUCGCAAGACUAAAACUCAAAUGAAUUGACGGGGGCCCGCACAAGCGGUGGAGCAUGUGGUUUAAUUCGAUGCAACGCGAAGAACCUUACCUGGCCUUGACAUACAGAG
This 960-nucleotide ribosomal RNA is filed under the name Acinetobacter radioresistens. RNAcentral describes it as "bacterial SSU rRNA". It matches the Rfam family "Bacterial small subunit ribosomal RNA", at positions 39 to 993 of the family's 1533-position model. The record is from RNAcentral. Lineage: Bacteria; Pseudomonadati; Pseudomonadota; Gammaproteobacteria; Moraxellales; Moraxellaceae.